This 1318-nucleotide long non-coding RNA is filed under the name Struthio camelus australis. RNAcentral's name for it is "lncRNA (ENSSCUG00000004082.1)". Lineage: Eukaryota; Metazoa; Chordata; Aves; Struthioniformes; Struthionidae. The record is from RNAcentral.
AUGCUUAAAGAUCACCUGCUCCCAGAUCUCAGCUACAGCUGUGGCCAGCCCUGUUCUUCCAUCUCUAGCAGGCAAACAGCUCCAAUUCCUGUCUCUCUACCUCAUAAGACAAAUAAGGCAAAGACCUGGGAGCAGCAGAUACAGAUGCCCAUACUGGAACAGGUCCCACGCGUUUUCUUUGGCAGCGGUCUGCCUGCCUGCCUGCGACUGCCCCAGCUCCUUGUGCUACUGACUGAGCCUAAAAAAAUCCCAGGACUUUGGUGGGAGAGCUUCGGGGCCAAGUCCUGCCCUUCUGCUAAUAGGUCUCUCAGCCUGUGAGUGGCCCCGCUGAAAUCAGUGAAAUCCCUAAGGAUGCCACUGUAUUGACAGAAUUAGCUGUUCCUUAGACACAUAUUAAACGUGAACAAGCAGCUUAAGAAAUGCCCUUGCUCCUAGAAACUGGGAAGUGCCAAAGGAAAGGCUGCUUUUUACUCUUUUCCUAAGCAUUUACUCUCGGCAGAGCGAGCAGCAGGCUCGAGGGCAGACGGGCCAUCGGUCUGCCCGGGGCAGCGGUUCUUACGGCCCACGUUUGAUAGUAGCAGGCAGAGUUGGGCGGCUGCAAAUCCUGCAAGAGAGGUUUUAGUCAGAAGGGGCGAUUCGAAACCCAUCUCCUAACGCAAGCCAACGGAGAACGUCCGUCAGUGCCUGAGCUCACCUUUCUGCCUCUCCAUCAUCUGUGCUAAUGAAGAACGUUUUCGGAGACGCCAGCCAUGGAUGACGUUAAGCAAAAAAACCCUCGCCGUUACCAGAAAUCUUGCCAGCGAACAAAAGAACGACGCUACUGCAGCCCCUCUGUAUCUGCAAACUCACCAUUUCACCGUGCCCAGCUGUACAGCCGUAGAGCACGUCUUCCUCCUAAAGACGGGCAAAGCCCGACCGAAGCCCAGGGCAGAAAACCGGCAUUUGCAGACUUGUCUAAGGCAGUGGUGGUGCAGUCAUUUUAAUUAGAUGCAUGUCUGCGCUGCUGCCAGAAGAGAUGUCCUGCCCUCCUGACCACCCCCAGCUACUUGUCCCCUGCCUUGUCCCAGGGCUGCUGUUCCCAUGGCCACAAGGUGAGGAACUAAACGGGGUUUUCGGCAAGAUCAGUGCGGGCCCAUGCCGGGCUAUGGGGGAAGCGGCAGCCUGGGCUCGCGUGAGGCGGCGGCGCAGUCUGAGGGACGACGUGCUCGUUCAUGUCACUGCUGGACACCAGGGCUGGCCGCCUUUGGUUGACGUGACAACUUUUGAGCAGCUGAAGCAGUGAAGAUGCCCUCCAGAUCCUCUUCCCCCUCCAGGCUCA